GAAAUGCGAUAAGUAAUGUGAAUUGCAGAAUUCAGUGAAUCAUCGAAUCUUUGAACGCACAUUGCGCCCGCCAGUAUUCUGGCGGGCAUGCCUGUUCGAGCGUCAUUUCAACCAUCAAGCCCCCGGCUUGUGUUGGGGACCUGCGGCUGCCCGCAGGCCCUGAAAAACAGUGGCGGGCUCGCUGUCACACCGAGCGUAGUAGCAUACAUUCUCGCUCAGGGCGUGCUGCGGGUUCCGGCCGUUAAACGACCUUCAUAACCCAAGGUUGACCUCGGAUCAGGCAGGAAGACCCGCUGAACUUAAGC
This 305-nucleotide unclassified non-coding RNA is filed under the name plant metagenome. RNAcentral describes it as "partial contains 5.8S ribosomal RNA, internal transcribed spacer 2, and large subunit ribosomal RNA". The stretch from base 1 to 105 matches the Rfam family "5.8S ribosomal RNA", at positions 50 to 154 of the family's 154-position model. The record is from RNAcentral.